CGGGAAUUACUGGGCGUAAAGCGCGCGUAGGUGGUUUGUCAAGUUGGAUGUGAAAGCCCAGGGCUCACCCUUGGAACAGCAUCCAAAACUGGCUCACUAGAGUACGAGAGAGGUUAGUGGAGAUUUCCUGUGUAGCGGUGAAAUGCGUAGAGAUGGGAAGGAACACCAGUGGCGAAGGCGACUGACUGGCUCGAUACUGACACUGAGGUGCGAAAGCGUGGGGAGCAAACGGGAUUAGAUACCCCGGUAGUCCACGCCGUAAACGAUGUCUACUAGCCGUUGGGAGACUUGAUCUCUUAGUGGCGCAGCUAACGCGAUAAGUAGACCGCCUGGGGAGUACGGUCGCAAGAUUAAAACUCAAAUGAAUUGACGGGGGCCCGCACAAGCGGUGGAGCAUGUGGUUUAAUUCGAAGCAACGCGAAGAACCUUACCUACUCUUGACAUCCAGUGAAUUUAGCAGAGAUGCUUUAGUGCCUUCGGGAACACUGAGACAGGUGCUGCAUGGCUGUCGUCAGCUCGUGUUGUGAAAUGUUGGGUUAAGUCCCGUAACGAGCGCAACCCUUGUCCUUAGUUACCAUCAUUAAGUUGGGGACUCUAAGGAGACUGCCGGUGACAAACCGGAGGAAGGCGGGGACGACGUCAAGUCAUCAUGGCCCUUACGAGUAGGGCUACACACGUGCUACAAUGGCGUAUACAAAGGGUUGCCAAGCCGCGAGGUGGAGCUAAUCUCAUAAAGUACGUCGUAGUCCGGAUUGGAGUCUGCAACUCGACUCCAUGAAGUCGGAAUCGCUAGUAAUCGUGAAUCAGAAUGUCACGGUGAAUACGUUCCCGGGCCUUGUACACACCGCCCGUCACACCAUGGGAGUGGGUUGCUCCAGAAGUAGAUAGUCUAACCCUCGGGAGGACGUUAC
Molecule: ribosomal RNA, 911 nt
Filed under: uncultured bacterium
Lineage: Bacteria
Description: bacterial SSU rRNA
Rfam family: Bacterial small subunit ribosomal RNA
Source: RNAcentral